AUUCAAUUGAUUGCUCAGAGCGAUAAGGGCUUAAAAUAUAUGACUGUGAGAGAGAGUUUGGAAGGAGAAGGAAGAAUGAAUGGGAGAAGAAGAAGGUCCGAGUCACUAAGUCACUGUGUCAGGUGCGUAACGUGGCGCUCUGGAAAAACCUGGACGGCUGUUGCGUUGCAGUGAUUUUGUCAUAAGCAAUAGGCCGCGUAUAAGUGGCAGUAAAUACAAAAUUACUAAAAUAAAAAUUGAUUAAUUUGAAAAAAAAAUAGUUAUAUAGGUUGAAAAUGAAUAUUUUCAAGUAUUUGGGUGCAAAUUUUAAGGUGGCGUUGGUUUGAAGAAAUGAUUGGAGAGGAAAUAAAAGAAGAGGAGUAGAGAAGAGGGGGUGAGGGAAUUUCAGUUUUUGUUGUUUGGUUUGGCAAGGAAUUCAAAAUGAAAAGGGAAAGAUUUUUUUUUUUUGGAUAAUUUUACCCUUUGUGUUAAUAUUUUAAUAUUUUUUAUUAAGUAAAAAAUAAAAUAAAAUAAAAUAAAAUUACAAAAUAAGGAAAAAGACCAACUUACAACUCAAUUAUUUUAUUUAGAAUUUGAAAUUUUUGUGGAAAAAUAUCAAAUUAUAAAUUACAACUCAAUUAUUUUAUUUAGAAUUUGAAAUUUUUGUGGAAAAAUAUCAAAUUAUAAAUUAAUUUAAUAUAAAAAUAGAAAACUAAAACAAGUAAAAUUGAAAGAAAAUUUAUUAUGAAUUGAUUUGAUCUUUGUUAAUUUUCUGCAUUUAUAGUUUGCAAAUAAAAGUAUAAAGAAAUAUAUAUCAUAUAGAAGAUAAUCUUUGUCCAAUAACGAAAUUAUGAUUUUCUUCUUCAAUUGCUUUUAUCAUUAUUUUUUCAAAAAAAAUUAAUUAAUAAAAUAUUGAAAACGGGAAAAAUAUAACAAAGGCACUUAAAAUAAUAGUAAAAAGUUUAAUACUUGGAUUUCAUUCUCAGAACACGAUUGUAUAGAGUCUCGUCUUUAAAAGGAAUGGCUUCUUUGGAUCCAAAGUAAUAACUACUAAGUGGGUAGAUGUCAACAACGUAACCGUUGCGAUCGCUGCCGUUAAUUGGCACUGAAGCGCCCAUUUCAUCUGACAUAUUCACUUCAAAUUCAAUUGAUUGCUCAGAGCGAUAAGGGCUUAAAAUAUAUGACUGUGAGAGAGAGUUUGGAAGGAGAAGGAAGAAUGAAUGGGAGAAGAAGAAGGUCCGAGUCACUAAGUCACUGUGUCAGGUGCGUAACGUGGCGCUCUGGAAAAACCUGGACGGCUGUUGCGUUGCAGUGAUUUUGUCAUAAGCAAUAGGCCGCGUAUAAGUGGCAGUAAAUACAAAAUUACUAAAAUAAAAAUUGAUUAAUUUGAAAAAAAAAUAGUUAUAUA
Molecule: long non-coding RNA, 1387 nt
Filed under: Citrus sinensis (sweet orange)
Lineage: Eukaryota; Viridiplantae; Streptophyta; Magnoliopsida; Sapindales; Rutaceae
Description: long non-coding RNA (CSIN_LNC001767)
Source: RNAcentral